AUGUGUUACAUUAUCACGUAUAUCCAGGACAUCUCUUCUGAACCAAGACGAAGUGGUGCUACAAAGGAAUUAUUUCUUUAGGAGAGUGCAUUUAAUAGCAGUCUGGCCUGCAACAAAAUGCACCGCUAAAAAUACAGUUUCUGCUUGUCCCAGAAUUUAUUAAUUUUGAGAGUGAAGUUGUAGGACUGAUGCUGGUUAGUGGUGUAGGUUUCAUGGAUGUGACACCUUAACUUGUGUAAAAUGACGACCAGAGCA
Molecule: long non-coding RNA, 255 nt
Organism: Haplochromis burtoni (Burton's mouthbrooder)
Lineage: Eukaryota; Metazoa; Chordata; Actinopteri; Cichliformes; Cichlidae
Exons: 2
Source: RefSeq, a predicted model, not a curated record